This 423-nucleotide ribosomal RNA is filed under the name uncultured Glomeraceae. RNAcentral's name for it is "SSU rRNA". It matches the Rfam family "Eukaryotic small subunit ribosomal RNA", at positions 459 to 886 of the family's 1831-position model. Lineage: Eukaryota; Fungi; Glomeromycota; Glomeromycetes; Glomerales; Glomeraceae. The record is from RNAcentral.
GGGAGGUAGUGACAAUAAAUAACAAUACAGGGUUCUUUAGGAUCUUGUAAUUGGAAUGAGUACAAUUUAAAUCUCUUAACGAGGAACAAUUGGAGGGCAAGUCUGGUGCCAGCAGCCGCGGUAAUUCCAGCUCCAAUAGCGUAUAUUAAAGUUGUUGCAGUUAAAAAGCUCGUAGUUGAACUUCGGGAUCAAUGGAUUGGUCAUGCCGUUGGUAUGUACUGGUCAUAUUGGUUCUCACCUUCUAAGGAACCAUAAUGUCAUUCAUUUGAUGUUUUGGGGAAUUAGGACUGUUACCUUGAAAAAAUUAGAGUGUUUAAAGCAGGCUAACGCUUGAAUACAUUAGCAUGGAAUAAUGAAAUAGGACAUCGCAUUCUAUUUUGUUGGUUUCUAGGAUCGAUGUAAUGAUUAAUAGGGAUAGUUGGG